Molecule: ribosomal RNA, 451 nt
Filed under: uncultured bacterium
Lineage: Bacteria
Description: partial 16S ribosomal RNA
Rfam family: Bacterial small subunit ribosomal RNA
Source: RNAcentral
GAUGAACGCUGGCGGCGUGCCUAACACAUGCCAGUCGAGCGGCAGCGACGGGUGCUUGCUCCCUGUCGGCGAGCUGCGGACGGCUGAGUAACGCGUGGGAACGUGCCCCAAAGUGAGGAAUAACUGCCCGAACUGGUAGCUAAUACCGCAUGUUAUCUUCGGCUCACAGGCUUUAUCCGCUGUGGGCGCGGCCCGCGUCGGUGUAGGUAGUUGGUGAGGUAAUGGUUCACCAAGCCGACGAUCCCCAGCUGGUCUGAGAGGAUGACCAGCCAGACUGGAAGUAAGACAAGGUCCAGAAUCAAACGAGAGGCAGAAGUGAGGAAUCUUCCACAAUGGGAGAAAGGGUGAGGGAGCAACGUGGCGUGCAGGACGAAGGGCUUCGGGUUGGAAACUGCUAUUAUAAGUGAGGAAUAUGACGGUAACUUAUGAAUAAGGAUCGGCUAACUACGUG